GCCUGCUCCGUCUGCAGCCUGGUGAUACGCUGCUGCAUCAGAUUGCCGCACUUCAUGUCGAGGGAGAAACGAUGCCGUGAGAAGAUAGAAACUAUAGAAGACUAUAUACACUUACGUGCGUGAUCAGAUCUAUGAAGUGCACUCCGUGUCGAUUGAGAGCGAGAAUGUGGUCGGCGCCCUUUUCCUUGCCCUCGGGCACCCUCUUCACCGCGAAGAAACUCGAGCCGAAAAGCGGCCACUUGGACAAUAUUUCUGAAGAAAGAGAGAAAACGCAUGCGUGUACUGCAUUUAAUCCAUUCCGUCCGAAGACAAUUAAUUUUUGUCAUUUUGCCAAGCAACAAUUUGUGUAAACUGUUAUUGUUUGAGUUCUCGCUUGUAUAUUAGAGAUAUUAAAGCAAAUGUUUGGGAGGUGGAAA
Wasmannia auropunctata (little fire ant) is the source of this 416-nucleotide long non-coding RNA. RefSeq lists it as uncharacterized. Lineage: Eukaryota; Metazoa; Arthropoda; Insecta; Hymenoptera; Formicidae. The record is from RefSeq and is a predicted model, not a curated record. The transcript has 2 exons.